RNAcentral lists this ribosomal RNA (576 nucleotides) under uncultured bacterium. RNAcentral describes it as "bacterial SSU rRNA". It matches the Rfam family "Bacterial small subunit ribosomal RNA", at positions 220 to 812 of the family's 1533-position model. The record is from RNAcentral.
GAAGGAUGGGCUCGCGUUGGAUUAGAUAGUUGGUGGGGUAACGGCCUACCAAGUCGACGAUCCAUAGCCGGACUGAGAGGUUGAACGGCCACAUUGGGACUGAGACACGGCCCAGACUCCUACGGGAGGCAGCAGUGGGGAAUAUUGCACAAUGGGGGAAACCCUGAUGCAGCAACGCCGCGUGAAGGAAGACGGUUUUCGGAUUGUAAACUUCUGUUCUUAGUGAAGAAUAAUGACGGUAGCUAAGGAGCAAGCCACGGCUAACUACGUGCCAGCAGCCGCGGUAAUACGUAGGUGGCAAGCGUUGUCCGGAAUUACUGGGUGUAAAGGGAGCGCAGGCGGGAAGCCAAGUCAGCUGUGAAAACUAUGGGCUUAACUUGUAGACUGCAGUUGAAACUGGUUUUCUUGAGUGAAGUAGAGGUUGGCGGAAUUCCGAGUGUAGCGGUGAAAUGCGUAGAUAUUCGGAGGAACACCGGUGGCGAAGGCGGCCAACUGGGCUUUAACUGACGCUGAGGCUCGAAAGUGUGGGGAGCAAACAGGAUUAGAUACCCUGGUAGUCCACACUGUAAACGAUGA